GGAGCACCACAACGGGUGGAGCCUGCGGUUUAAUUGGACUCAACGCCGGGCAGCUCACCGGAUAAGACAGCUGGAUGAUAGCCGGGCUGAAGACUCUGCUUGACUAGCUGAGAGGAGGUGCAUGGCCGUCGUCAGUUCGUACUGUGAAGCAUCCUGUUAAGUCAGGCAACGAGCGAGACCCACGCCAACAGUUGCCAGCAUGUCCUCCGGGAUGAUGGGGACACUGUUGGGACCGCCUCUGCUAAAGAGGAGGAAGGAAUGGGCAACGGUAGGUCAGCAUGCCCCGAAUUAUCCGGGCUACACGCGGGCUACAAUGGUCAGGACAAUGGGUAUCGACACCGAGAGGUGGAGGCAAUCUCCUAAACCUGUCCUUAGUUCGGAUUGUGGGCUGCAACUCGCCCACAUGAAGCUGGAAUCCGUAGUAAUCGCGUCAAAA
Molecule: ribosomal RNA, 436 nt
Filed under: uncultured bacterium
Lineage: Bacteria
Description: bacterial SSU rRNA
Rfam family: Archaeal small subunit ribosomal RNA
Source: RNAcentral